RNAcentral lists this ribosomal RNA (252 nucleotides) under uncultured bacterium. Its description in RNAcentral is "partial 16S ribosomal RNA". It matches the Rfam family "Bacterial small subunit ribosomal RNA", at positions 524 to 776 of the family's 1533-position model. The record is from RNAcentral.
UACGGAGGGUGCGAGCGUUAAUCGGAAUAACUGGGCGUAAAGGGUACGCAGGCGGUUUAAUAAGUCGAAUGUUAAAGAUCGGGGCUCAACCCCGUAAAGCAUUGGAAACUGAUAAACUUGAGUAGUGGAGAGGAAAGUGGAAUUCCUAGUGUAGCGGUGAAAUGCGCAGAUAUUAGGAGGAAUACCGGUGGCGAAGGCGACUUUCUGGCCAUAAACUGACGCUGAGGUACGAAAGCGUGGGUAGCAAACAGG